AGUGAACGCUGGCGGUAGGCCUAACACAUGCAAGUCGAACGGCAGCACAGAGGAGCUUGCUCCUUGGGUGGCGAGUGGCGGACGGGUGAGGAAUACAUCGGAAUCUACUUUUUCGUGGGGGAUAACGUAGGGAAACUUACGCUAAUACCGCAUACGACCUACGGGUGAAAGCAGGGGAUCUUCGGACCUUGCGCGAUUGAAUGAGCCGAUGUCGGAUUAGCUAGUUGGCGGGGUAAAGGCCCACCAAGGCGACGAUCCGUAGCUGGUCUGAGAGGAUGAUGAGCCACACUGGAACUGAGACACGGUCCAGACUCCUACGGGAGGCAGCAGUGGGGAAUAUUGGACAAUGGGCGCAAGCCUGAUCCAGCCAUACCGCGUGGGUGAAGAAGGCCUUCGGGUUGUAAAGCCCUUUUGUUGGGAAAGAAAUCCAGCUGGUUAAUACCCGGUUGGGAUGACGGUACCCAAAGAAUAAGCACCGGCUAACUUCGUGCCAGCCGCCGCGGUAA
RNAcentral lists this ribosomal RNA (506 nucleotides) under uncultured bacterium. Its description in RNAcentral is "partial 16S ribosomal RNA". It matches the Rfam family "Bacterial small subunit ribosomal RNA", at positions 29 to 523 of the family's 1533-position model. The record is from RNAcentral.